GAUUAGAUACCCUGGUAGUCCACGCCGUAAACGUUGGGCGCUAGAUGUAGGGACCCUUUCCACGGUUUCUGUGUCGUAGCUAACGCAUUAAGCGCCCCGCCUGGGGAGUACGGCCGCAAGGCUAAAACUCAAAGGAAUUGACGGGGGCCCGCACAAGCGGCGGAGCAUGCGGAUUAAUUCGAUGCAACGCGAAGAACCUUACCAAGGCUUGACAUACACCGGAAACGGCCAGAGAUGGUUGCCCCCUUGUGGUCGGUGUACAGGUGGUGCAUGGUUGUCGUCAGCUCGUGUCGUGAGAUGUUGGGUUAAGUCCCGCAACGAGCGCAACCCUCGUUCUAUGUUGCCAGCGCGUUAUGGCGGGGACUCAUAGGAGACUGCCGGGGUCAACUCGGAGGAAGGUGGGGAUGACGUCAAAUCAUCAUGCCCCUUAUGUCUUGGGCUUCACGCAUGCUACAAUGGCCGGUACAAAGGGCUGCGAUACCGUAAGGUGGAGCGAAUCCCAAAAAGCCGGUCUCAGUUCGGAUUGAGGUCUGCAACUCGACCUCAUGAAGUCGGAGUCGCUAGUAAUCGCAGAUCAGCAACGCUGCGGUGAAUACGUUCCCGGGCCUUGUACACACCGCCCGUCAAGUCAUGAAAGUCGGUAACACCCGAAGCCGGUGGCCUAACCCUUGUGGAAGGAGCCGUCGAAGGUGGGAUCGGUGAUUAGGACUAAGUCGUAACAAGG
RNAcentral lists this ribosomal RNA (724 nucleotides) under uncultured bacterium. RNAcentral describes it as "bacterial SSU rRNA". It matches the Rfam family "Bacterial small subunit ribosomal RNA", at positions 776 to 1496 of the family's 1533-position model. The record is from RNAcentral.